GACGAACGCUGGCGGCGUGCUUAACACAUGCAAGUCGAACGGUAAGGCCCUUCGGGGUCCACGAGUGGCGAACGGGUGAGUAACACGUGGGUAAUCUGCCCUGCACAUCGGGAUAAGCCUGGGAAACUGGGUCUAAUACCGAAUAGGACCACAGGACACAUGUCCUGUGGUGGCAAGCUUUUGCGGUGUGGGAUGGGCCCGCGGCCUAUCAGCUUGUUGGUGGGGUGAUGGCCUACCAAGGCGACGACGGGUAGCCGGCCUGAGAGGGUGUCCGGCCACACGGGGACUGAGAUACGGCCCAGACUCCUACGGGAGGCAGCAGUGGGGAAUAUUGCACAAUGGGCGAAAGCCUGAUGCAGCGACGCCGCGGGGGGGAUGACGGCCGUCGGGUUGUAAACCUCUUUCACCAACGACGAAGGUCCGGGUGUUCUCGGGCUGACGGUAGGUGGAGAAGAAGCACCGGCCAACUACGUG
RNAcentral lists this ribosomal RNA (474 nucleotides) under uncultured bacterium. Its description in RNAcentral is "partial 16S ribosomal RNA". It matches the Rfam family "Bacterial small subunit ribosomal RNA", at positions 28 to 507 of the family's 1533-position model. The record is from RNAcentral.